UACGAAGGGGGCUAGCGUUGUUCGGAAUCACUGGGCGUAAAGGGCGCGCAGGCGGCCAUUCAAGUCAGAUGUGAAAGCCCCGGGCUCAACCUGGGAGGUGCAUUUGGGACUGGAUGGCUUGAGAUCGGGAGAGGAGAGUGGAAUUCCCAGUGUAGAGGUGAAAUUCGUAGAUAUCAGGAGGAACACCUGCGGUGUAGACGGCUUUCUGGACCAUUGCUGACGCUGAGACACGAAAGCGUGGGUAGCAAACAGG
Molecule: ribosomal RNA, 253 nt
Filed under: uncultured bacterium
Lineage: Bacteria
Description: partial 16S ribosomal RNA
Rfam family: Bacterial small subunit ribosomal RNA
Source: RNAcentral